RNAcentral lists this ribosomal RNA (207 nucleotides) under uncultured bacterium. RNAcentral describes it as "partial 16S ribosomal RNA". It matches the Rfam family "Bacterial small subunit ribosomal RNA", at positions 568 to 774 of the family's 1533-position model. The record is from RNAcentral.
UUCGUAGGUGGUGCGGCAAGUUGGAAGUGAAAUCUCUGGGCUUAACCCAGAGGCUGCUUUCAAAACUGCCGUGCUCGAGUGCGAGAGAGGUCAGUGGAAUUGCAGGUGUAGCGGUGAAAUGCGUAGAUAUCUGCAGGAACACCCGUGGCGAAGGCGGCUGACUGGAUCGCAACUGACACUGAGGAACGAAAGCUAGGGGAGCAAACA